Molecule: ribosomal RNA, 492 nt
Filed under: uncultured bacterium
Lineage: Bacteria
Description: partial 16S ribosomal RNA
Rfam family: Bacterial small subunit ribosomal RNA
Source: RNAcentral
AGUGAACGCUGGCGGUAGGCCUAACACAUGCAAGUCGAACGGCAGCACAGUAAGAGCUUGCUCUUACGGGUGGCGAGUGGCGGACGGGUGAGGAAUACAUCGGAAUCUACUUUUUCGUGGGGGAUAACGUAGGGAAACUUUCGCUAAUACCGCAUACGACCUACGGGUGAAGGCAGGGGAUCUUCGGACCUUGCGCGAUUGAAUGAGCCGAUGUCGGAUUAGCUAGUUGGCGGGGUAAAGGCCCACCAAGGCGACGAUCCGUAGCUGGUCUGAGAGGAUGAUCAGCCACACUGGAACUGAGACACGGUCCAGACUCCUACGGGAGGCAGCAGUGGGGAAUAUUGGACAAUGGGCGCAAGCCUGAUCCAGCCAUACCGCGUGGGUGAAGAAGGCCUUCGGGUUGUAAAGCCCUUUUGUUGGGAAAGAAAAGCAGCAGGUUAAUACCCCGCUGUUCUGACGGUACCCAAAGAAUAAGCACCGGCUAACUUCGUG